Molecule: long non-coding RNA, 450 nt
Organism: Vidua chalybeata
Lineage: Eukaryota; Metazoa; Chordata; Aves; Passeriformes; Viduidae
Exons: 3
Source: RefSeq, a predicted model, not a curated record
AUUUGUAUCUUCCAGCACCCAAAAGUAGAAGGUUUUACUAAGAAAGCACUAUGAGAGGAGCAUAUUUAAAGCAAAGCAGAACAGAAGACUUAUGCUGUCUGCUAUGUGUGCUUCAAGAAGCCUGCAGUAGUAAAAGUCUGAAGGAUUAGAAACACAGCCAGAGUCAAAGAAACCUCCAAGAGGGCACUUUGGACCUAGCAGUUAUCUUACAGAAGGAAAUGUAGAACAAGAUGUGCAGAUUUGGAGACGAUGUGGAACUGACAACCUGAGAAAUGCCAUCCAUAAAGGAAGGCAGUGACUCAGAAGCCAGAGGAGGUCACUGAGGGAAGAAAGCCCAGGCCAGAAUAGAUCCCCAGGACACAUUUGCAAAGAGCUAAAAAUAGGAGAAAUACCUUAGUUUUUGCACAAAAAGGAAAGUUGCUAGAUUUGAAGAAUAAAAGUGUGAACAUU